UCCAGUCAGCAGACGGCGAUGUGCGUCUUUCAGGCGAUGCUGCAGCGUGACGUAUAAUCUAGUGGACGGAACGGAUCAACAACAGCGAGUCAGCCACCUUGGUAGCCUACAGCCGAAACAUUUAGACUGUUUCUGUGCAUAUUUGCCUCUGUGUUUUAAAUAUACUUCUGACAUCUAGUUAAUUGCCCCCAUUUAAAUGUUAUAGGUACAUUGUUAGUCAACUAGCUGGCUUGAUAAGUUAGCCUAGCACUAAACUAGUCGCUCAUGCUAACUAGCUAGCUAACAUCCCCGACCAUGAGCUCACUGAUGUAUUCCUCGCCUACUAAAGAAGGAUAGGUCUGCUGGACGGAGAAAGAAGCUCUGUGGCUGAACAUUGUCAUGAAAGAGGAGAAGGAAGACGCGUUCAGAGUGAAGGAGGAGGAGGAUGUUACUGUAAAAGAAGAGGAGGAAGAGAAAGAAGAGGAUGCAGUUUUUGGAGUGAAGAAAGGGAGAGAUAACGGUCAUAUUGACAGAGGAGUCAGGAGAUCUGAUUACCAUCAGAGAGAGACCAGACUCUGACAGCAGGAAGAGUUCCUCAGGGGAAACAGACCCAGAGACACCUAACCAACACCACUGCUCCCACUGUGGAAAGAGUUUUAGGUGGUUAGGGAGCCUGAAAAUGCAUGAGAGAACACAUACAGGAGAAAAGCCCUACCACUGUUCCCACUGUGGAAAGAAUUUUACUCAGUUAGGAGCCCUGGUUGGGCAUGAGAGAACACACACGGGAGAGAAGCCUUAUCACUGUUCCCACUGUGGAAAGAGUUUUAGGUGGUUAUGGGUCCUGAAAAAGCAUGAGAGAAUACACACGGGAGAGAAACCUUAUCACUGUUCUCACUGUGGAAACAGUUUUAGGUGGUUAGUGAGCCUGAAAACGCAUGAGAGAAUACACACAGGAGAAAAGCCUUUCCAAUGUUCCCAGUGUGAAAAGAGUUUUAGGUGGUCGGGGAGUCUGAAAAAGCAUACGAGAAAACACACAGGAGAAAAGCCUUUCCAACAUACUAAUACACAGGAGGAGAAGACAUACCACUGUUCUCAUUGUGAAAAGACAUUUUCCCAGUCAGAGGACCUGAAAUCACACGAGAGAAUAGAGAGGCUGUGUUCUGACUUGUGUUUCUGACUGAGAAUUUGUCCACGGCCAGGAUUCAUAGGGCCAGGGUGUCCGCUAUGGACGCCUGGAAAAAAUCAGCAGUGGACAUUUCUGAACGUUUAUCCAACAGACCUGUACAUCCAUGAAUGGAUCUCUAUAAUGUGUAACUAUUUCUGAUGUAUGUGUUGUGAUGUAUUGUUUAAUAGAUGUACUAUGUUAGGUAUAUUUAUCUGUGGUUUAAUUUCAACAGAUUUUACUGAUGCUAUUAGAUUGCUGUGUGGGGGGAGUUUUAUAUAUACAGUGCCUUCAGAAAGUAUUCACACCC
Molecule: non-coding RNA, 1451 nt
Organism: Salmo salar (Atlantic salmon)
Lineage: Eukaryota; Metazoa; Chordata; Actinopteri; Salmoniformes; Salmonidae
Source: RefSeq, a predicted model, not a curated record